ACCCAGGUGGUGGAAUUGGUAGACACGCCAGCUUGAGGGGCUGGUGCUCAUUAGGGCAUGCUGGUUCGAGUCCAGUUCUGGGUACCA
RNAcentral lists this transfer RNA (87 nucleotides) under Salibacteraceae bacterium. RNAcentral describes it as "tRNA-Leu". It matches the Rfam family "tRNA". From Rfam's summary of the family: Transfer RNA (tRNA) molecules are approximately 80 nucleotides in length. Their secondary structure includes four short double-helical elements and three loops (D, anti-codon, and T loops). Further hydrogen bonds mediate the characteristic L-shaped molecular structure. tRNAs have two regions of fundamental functional importance: the anti-codon, which is responsible for specific mRNA codon recognition, and the 3' end, to which the tRNAs corresponding amino acid is attached (by aminoacyl-tRNA synthetases). tRNAs cope with the degeneracy of the genetic code in two manners: having more than one tRNA (with a specific anti-codon) for a particular amino acid; and 'wobble' base-pairing, i.e. permitting non-standard base-pairing at the 3rd anti-codon position. Lineage: Bacteria; Pseudomonadati; Bacteroidota; Flavobacteriia; Flavobacteriales; Salibacteraceae. The record is from RNAcentral.